UCGGCCGCCCGCCCCCCGGGUCCGGGCCCGGGUCCGGGUCUGGGUCCGGACCACGCAGCCGCUGCGAACCAGGCCGCCCACGGCGAUGCGGAGCUGGCUCUGAUUCUCCUCUACGUCAUAUCCGCUGGACAGCAGCGCCUCCCGCAGGAAGGAAAACACAGAGAACAAUAUUAGUCAUGUGGGCGAGCAGCCUGUGAGGUGUCAAGUAGCAGAUGCCAAUAGUGAAUAUGAAAAUCUCUGUUUUCUGGACAUCAUGGAUCAUUUUGGAGAUGCAAAUGGAAUCCAUGGGGCAGAGGUUGAUGAUGAUGAGGAGGUCUCUGCUACCAAGGCAAAUCACGCCAGACUGGGUGAAGACUGCCUCGAUGAUACCCUUGAAUAUUUACCGGAUAACACAGAGGAUCCCCACGUAUAGUCUGUCAAAGUGAGAACCUGUUACUGAGCCAAAGUUGGCGAGUC
Carcharodon carcharias (great white shark) is the source of this 456-nucleotide long non-coding RNA. RefSeq lists it as uncharacterized. Lineage: Eukaryota; Metazoa; Chordata; Chondrichthyes; Lamniformes; Lamnidae. The transcript has 4 exons. The record is from RefSeq and is a predicted model, not a curated record.